GACGAACGCUGGCGGCGUGCUUAACACAUGCAAGUCGAACGGAAAGGCCUGCUUUCCCUUGUGGAUUGCAGGUACUCGAGUGGCGAACGGGUGAGUAACACGUGAGUGAUCUGCCCCCAACUUGGGUAUAAGCCUGGGAAACUGGGUCUAAUUCCCGAUAGGACUGCAGGGUGGUGCCUGUGGUGGAAAACGAUUUUCUAGUGGUUGGGGAUGAGCUCGCGGCCUAUCAGCUUGUUGGUGGGGUAAUGGCCUACCAAGGCGGCGACGGGUAGCCGGCCUGGGAGGGUGGACGGCCACAUUGGGACUGAGAUACGGCCCAGACGCCUACGGGAGGCAGCAGUGGGGAAGAAUGCACAAUGGGCGGAAGCCUGAUGCAGCGACGCCGCGUGGGGGAUGACGGCCUUCGGGUUGUAAACUCCUUUCGACCGCGAGGAAGGCACCUGGUUGGAAGGGUGGUGACGGUAGUGGUAGAAGAAGCACCGGCUAACUACGUG
Molecule: ribosomal RNA, 494 nt
Filed under: uncultured bacterium
Lineage: Bacteria
Description: partial 16S ribosomal RNA
Rfam family: Bacterial small subunit ribosomal RNA
Source: RNAcentral